Molecule: ribosomal RNA, 460 nt
Filed under: uncultured bacterium
Lineage: Bacteria
Description: partial 16S ribosomal RNA
Rfam family: Bacterial small subunit ribosomal RNA
Source: RNAcentral
CCUACGGGUGGCAGCAGUGAGGAAUAUUGGUCAAUGGGCGUAAGCCUGAACCAGCCAAGUCGCGUGAGGGAUGAAGGUUCUAUGGAUCGUAAACCUCUUUUAUAAGGGAAUAAAGUGCGGGACGUGUCCCGUGUUGUAUGUACCUUAUGAAUAAGGAUCGGCUAACUCCGUGCCAGCAGCCGCGGUAAUACGGAGGAUCCGAGCGUUAUCCGGAUUUAUUGGGUUUAAAGGGUGCGUAGGCGGCCUUUUAAGUCAGCGGUGAAAGCCCGUGGCUCAACCAUAGAAUCGCCGUUGAAACUGGGAGGCUCGAGUAUGUUAGAGGCAGGCGGAAUGCGUGGUGUAGCGGUGAAAUGCUUAGAUAUCACGCAGAACCCCGAUUGCGAAGGCAGCCUGCCAGGCCAUGACUGACGCUGAGGCACGAAAGCGUGGGUAUCGAACAGGAUUAGAUACCCGGGUAGUC